CACAACGUGAAUGUCUUUAUUCUUGAAUUUCACCAGUGUCUAACAGCACAAGAAACAAGAACAAAAUCUCAAUUUAUUUAAGAAGAUGCUUUAUACCAUGUUAAUCUGCCCCUUCACAUCUACCUGGAACAAAGAUUCAUUUCGUGAUAUUAUUUUACCGCAAGUUAUGCUUGCCAUGACUUUCAACGUUCACGUAAGGAGAAUAAAAAGGUUCAGGCAGGGUCUCUUGAGCAUGGGCAGCCCAGCUUACCACGGACCUCUAGAGAAGACUGAAAAGAGGGUAUUGCCAG
Molecule: long non-coding RNA, 290 nt
Filed under: Equus asinus (donkey)
Lineage: Eukaryota; Metazoa; Chordata; Mammalia; Perissodactyla; Equidae
Description: lncRNA (ENSEASG00005028953.1)
Source: RNAcentral